This 227-nucleotide ribosomal RNA is filed under the name Staphylococcus sp. RNAcentral's name for it is "partial 16S ribosomal RNA". It matches the Rfam family "Bacterial small subunit ribosomal RNA", at positions 1126 to 1352 of the family's 1533-position model. Lineage: Bacteria; Bacillati; Bacillota; Bacilli; Caryophanales; Staphylococcaceae. The record is from RNAcentral.
UUAAGUUGGGCACUCUAAGUUGACUGCCGGUGACAAACCGGAGGAAGGUGGGGAUGACGUCAAAUCAUCAUGCCCCUUAUGAUUUGGGCUACACACGUGCUACAAUGGACAAUACAAAGGGCAGCGAAACCGCGAGGUCAAGCAAAUCCCAUAAAGUUGUUCUCAGUUCGGAUUGUAGUCUGCAACUCGACUACAUGAAGCUGGAAUCGCUAGUAAUCGUAGAUCAG